RNAcentral lists this long non-coding RNA (868 nucleotides) under Apteryx haastii (Great spotted kiwi). RNAcentral's name for it is "lncRNA (ENSAHAG00000009218.1)". The record is from RNAcentral. Lineage: Eukaryota; Metazoa; Chordata; Aves; Apterygiformes; Apterygidae.
AGGAGGCCUCUGCGAGGCCGUAGAGGCACGUGCGAGCUUGAGCGAGCCCUUGUCAUUCUGUGCGCGCCCGUGCGAGCCCGUGCGAGCCCGUACGAGCCCGUAGGAGGCCUCUGCGAGCCCGUAGAGGCCCGUGUGAGCUUGGGCGAGCUCGUGUCAGCCCGUACGAGCCCGCAUGAGCCCGUAGGAGCCCGUAGGAGGCCUCUGCGAGCCCGUAGAGGCCCGUGCGAGCUUUUGCAAGCCUGUGUCAGCCCGUGCGAGCCCAUACGAGCCCGUAGGAGGCCUCUGCGAGCCCGUAGAGGCCCGUGCGAGCUUGUGCGAGCCCGCACGUGCCCAUGUGAGCCCAUACGAGCCCAUAGGAGGCCUCUGCGAGGCCGUAGAGGCCCGUGCGAGCUUGUGCGAGCCCGUGUCAGCCCAUGCGCGCCCGUGCGAGUCCAUACGAACCCGUAGGAGGCCUCUGCGAGCCCGUAGAGGCCUGUGCGAGAUUGUGCGAGCCCGUGCGCGCCCGUGCGAGCCCAUACGAGCCCGUAGGAGGCCUCUGCGAGCCCGUAGAGGCCCGUGCGAGCUUGUGCAAGCCCGUGCGAGCCCAUACGAGCCCGUAGGAGGCCUCUGCAAGCCCGUAGAGGCCCGUGCGAGCUUGUGCAAGCCCGUGUCAGCCCCUGCCAGCCCGUACGAGCCCGUAGGGGGCCGUGCGAGCUUGUGCAAGCCUGUGCGCGCCCGUGCGAGCCCGCACGAGCACGUAGGAGGCCUCUGCGAGCCCGUAGAGGCCCGUGCGAACUUUUGCGAGCCCGUGCGCGCCCGUGCGAGCCCACACAAGCCCGUAGCAGGCCUCUGCGAGCCUGUAGAGGCCCGUGCGAGCUUGUGCAAAGCC